AGGGAGGGGGGGUGAAAAGGCUACAAAAGAAAUUUCUGUCUAUUGCACUCUCUUUAUUCUUUUACCAUGGUAUCACUGCAAAGCACUGGAAUAUCCCCCGAGUGCUCUGUGGAAAGCUGUGCCUCACCCACCUGCAGAUAUCAGAUUGGAGUGUCUGCAGAGUUGUUGCCCACAGCAGCUCAAGGGCCACCUCAGAACAGUGCUGGGAGGUCCACAAGUGCUCAGCCUUGCUCUUGGGGCUGCAGGGAAAUGAAUGAAGGAAGACAUGAGAGCAAGAAGUAAAGCUGCUGCUCUGCUCCUGCCCACCCACGUGUGGCUCUGUGAAAGUUGUAGUGACCCCCUGGAAGUGCUGGAGCCCUUGCUCUGAGGGAGCAGGAACAAGGAGGUGCUUGAGGGACCCUUUCUCCUGCUCAGAUGCUACAGGAGAAGAGGAUGAGCUGGUACAGACCUGGCUUUUCCUGGCAGCCUGCUCAGAAGGUGCAGCUGUGGAAGAGGAAACAUCUCCUUAUCUGGUACAAGGUCUUAUGCUAUGGGGACACAGACUUCUCUCUGUCUUGUCAGCCUCAAAGGAGACAGAAGGAAAAGUUGAGCUAAACACCAGCUGACAGAAGCGACUCCUUCAAGUGAGCUGUUUCACCACAACUCUCAGCACUUGCCUAUCU
Molecule: long non-coding RNA, 662 nt
Organism: Passer domesticus (house sparrow)
Lineage: Eukaryota; Metazoa; Chordata; Aves; Passeriformes; Passeridae
Exons: 5
Source: RefSeq, a predicted model, not a curated record